CUGGCCGUGAGGCGGCAGUGAAGAAAGCGGGACUGCAAAAUCCGGUACUGACGGACAGAAACUGCAUAAGAGGCAGGAAGUCGUGGGUAAACAAGCACCUCUUUGCAACGCCCCUGACCAACAAACGACCUUGUGUAGAUGCAGCAGGAAUCGGAGGAAGGAAGGUGCU
Molecule: non-coding RNA, 169 nt
Organism: Pontibacter sp. BAB1700
Lineage: Bacteria; Pseudomonadati; Bacteroidota; Cytophagia; Cytophagales; Hymenobacteraceae
Source: Rfam